UAUGCAAAUUUCGGUAUCUGUACAGCUAAGGAUAUAUACAUGUAUCAGCGAUGGUAUCUUGUAAUAAAUUGCAUACAGUGAAAGGGAGAUAGCAAGAUUCUUCAUCUUUAUUGUGUGUCUCAUUCACUGCAAAUAUCUCAAUUUCUUGUGCAAUCAGUUGCUCUGUGCCUUUCACUGGUGCUAGAAAAUGAAACAGCAUGACAAUAAAAUUUAAGCGUUCAUAUUUUUUUCAUUCUCUUUCCAUCUUCAGUGUGGAUUGAAACUGGAACAGAUAUCUCCUCCAUACUGGUACCAACAGCUGUUCAUGGUCGAGGAUUACUCUCUUUUUAACUCCAUUUGUUAAUUUC
Molecule: long non-coding RNA, 347 nt
Filed under: Mytilus galloprovincialis (Mediterranean mussel)
Lineage: Eukaryota; Metazoa; Mollusca; Bivalvia; Mytilida; Mytilidae
Source: RNAcentral